GUGAUAAGAUCCGUAGUCGAAAGGGAAACAGCCCAGACCACCAGUUAAGGUCCCCAAAUAUAUGUUAAGUGGAAAAGGAUGUGGGGUUGCUUAGACAACCAGGAUGUUGGCUUAGAAGCAGCCACCAUUGAAAGAGUGCGUAAUAGCUCACUGGUCGAGUGACCCCGCGCCGAAAAUGUACCGGGGCUAAACAUAUUACCGAAACUGUGGAUGAACCUCAUUAGAGGUUCGUGGUAGGAGAGCGUUCUAAGGGCGGUGAAGUCAGACCGGAAGGACUGGUGGAGCGCUUAGAAGUGAGAAUGCCGGUAUGAGUAGCGAAAGAAGGGUGAGAAUCCCUUCCACCGAAUAUCUAAGGUUUCCUGAGGAAGGCUCGUCCGCUCAGGGUUAGUCGGGACCUAAGCCGAGGCCGAUAGGCGUAGGCGAUGGACAACAGGUAGAGAUUCCUGUACCAGUGCUAAUUGUUUAACCGAUGGGGUGACACAGAAGGAUAGGGAAUCGCACGAAUGGAAAUGUGCGUCCAAGCAGUGAGUGUGAGAAGUAGGCAAAUCCGCUUCUCGCGAAGCAUGAGCUGUGAUGGGGAAGGAAAUUAAGUACGGAAGUUCCUGAUUUCACGCUGUCAAGAAAAGCCUCUAGGAAGAGUAGUACUGCCCGUACCGCAAACCGACACAGGUAGAUGAGGAGAGAAUCCUAAGGUGAGCGAGAGAACUCUCGUUAAGGAACUCGGCAAAAUGACCCCGUAACUUCGGGAGAAGGGGUGCUCUAUUAGGGUGCAAGCCCGAGAGAGCCGCAGUGAAUAGGCCCAGGCGACUGUUUAGCAAAAACACAGGUCUCUGCAAAACCGUAAGGUGACGUAUAGGGGCUGACGCCUGCCCGGUGCUGGAAGGUUAAGAGGAGUGCUUAGCUUCGGCGAAGGUACGAAUUGAAGCCCCAGUAAACGGCGGCCGUAACUAUAACGGUCCUAAGGUAGCGAAAUUCCUUGUCGGGUAAGUUCCGACCCGCACGAAAGGCGCAACGAUCUGGGCACUGUCUCAACGAGAGACUCGGUGAAAUUAUAGUACCUGUGAAGAUGCAGGUUACCCGCGACAGGACGGAAAGACCCCGUGGAGCUUUACUGCAACCUGAUAUGGAAUGUUUGUACCGCUUGUACAGGAUAGGUAGGAGCCGAAGAGACGUGUGCGCUAGCAUACGAGGAGGCAAUGGUGGGAUACUACCCUGGCUGUAUGACCAUUCUAACCCGCCACGCUUAGCGCGUGGGGAGACAGUGUCAGGUGGGCAGUUUGACUGGGGCGGUCGCCUCCUAAAGAGUAACGGAGGCGCCCAAAGGUUCCCUCAGAAUGGAUGGAAAUCAUUCGCAGAGUGUAAAGGCACAAGGGAGCUUGACUGCGAGACUGACAAGUCGAGCAGGGACGAAAGUCGGGCUUAGUGAUCCGGUGGUUCCGCAUGGAAGGGCCAUCGCUCAACGGAUAAAAGCUACCCCGGGGAUAACAGGCUUAUCUCCCCCAAGAGUCCACAUCGACGGGGAGGUUUGGCACCUCGAUGUCGGCUCGUCGCAUCCUGGGGCUGUAGUCGGUCCCAAGGGUUGGGCUGUUCGCCCAUUAAAGCGGCACGCGAGCUGGGUUCAGAACGUCGUGAGACAGUUCGGUCCCUAUCCGUCGCGGGCGCAGGAAAUUUGAGAGGAGCUGUCCUUAGUACGAGAGGACCGGGAUGGACACACCGCUGGUGUACCAGUUGUUCCGCCAGGAGCAUCGCUGGGUAGCUAUGUGUGGCAGGGAUAAACGCUGAAAGCAUCUAAGCGUGAAGCCCCCCUCAAGAUGAGAUUUCCCAUUUCUUCGGAAAGUAAGAUCCCUGAAAGAUGAUCAGGUAGAUAGGUUUGGAGUGGAAGUGUAGCGAUACAUGGAGCGGACAAAUACUAAUCGAUCGAGGACUUAACCAA
This 1933-nucleotide ribosomal RNA is filed under the name Listeria monocytogenes. RNAcentral's name for it is "partial 23S ribosomal RNA". It matches the Rfam family "Bacterial large subunit ribosomal RNA", at positions 995 to 2925 of the family's 2925-position model. The record is from RNAcentral. Lineage: Bacteria; Bacillati; Bacillota; Bacilli; Caryophanales; Listeriaceae.